This 67-nucleotide small nuclear RNA is filed under the name Echinops telfairi (small Madagascar hedgehog). Its description in RNAcentral is "U7 small nuclear RNA (ENSETEG00000026155.1)". It matches the Rfam family "U7 small nuclear RNA". Rfam says of the family: Animal histone pre-mRNAs are spliced by a different mechanism than nuclear pre-mRNAs and self-splicing introns. This processing involves the U7 snRNP, which contains only one RNA species: U7. The record is from RNAcentral. Lineage: Eukaryota; Metazoa; Chordata; Mammalia; Afrosoricida; Tenrecidae.
GAGUGUUACAGCUCUUUCAGAAUUUGUCUAGCAGGAUUUCUGUUUUGUUUUUUUUCUGGAAACCUAC